UUGUGGGGUGACGGCGUGCCUAUCGAAAAAUGAGUCUGCGAGUCAGUGGCGGGUGGCGAGCAUAAGCCGUGUGGCGUAUGCGUAGCGAAAGCGAGUCUUAAAAGGCGUUUUCAGUCGCUUGUCCUGGACCCGAAGCGGGAUGAUCUAGCCCUGGGCAGGUUGAAGCGCGGGUAAGACCGCGUGGAGGACCGAACCCACCUGGGUUGAAAACCGGGGGGAUGACCUGGGGCUAGGGGUGAAAGGCCAAUCAAAUUCCGUGAUAGCUGGUUCUCUCCGAAAUGCAUUUAGGUGCAGCGUCGGUCGAUUGCGUCGCGGGGGUAGAGCUACCGGAUGCUUGCGGGCCCUUGUUGGGUACCAACAGCAGCCGAACUCCGAAUACCGUUGACGUGUAUUCCGGCAGUGAGUCGGCGGGGGAUAAGCUCCGUCGUCGAGAGGGAGACAGCCCAGACCGUCGUCUAAGGUCCCGAAGCGUGUGCUAAGUGGGAAAGGAUGUGGAGUCGCAUAGACAGCCAGGAGGUUGGCUCAGAAGCAGCCAUCCUUGAAAGAGUGCGUAACAGCUCACUGGUCUAGUGGUUCCGCGCCGACAAUGUAGCGGGGCUCAAGCACACCACCGAAGACGCGGCAGCAAUCUUCAUGGUUGCUGGGUAGGAGAGCGUCCUGCGAGGGGCGAAGCGGCCGGGUAACCGUGCCGUGGACUUCGUGGGAGUGAGAAUGCAGACAUGAGUAGCGAGAGACGGGUGAGGAUCCCGUCCGCUGGAUGACCAAGGGUUCCGGGGCCACGUUCGUCGUCCCCGGGUGAGUCGGGUCCUAAGGCGAGGCCGACAGGCGUAGUCGAAUGGAUGAACGGGUGGAUAUUCCCGUACCGACCAUGGACCGGCAAAACCGAGACGGUGAGUACUAACCUCCGCCUCGUGGUGGUUCCUUCCUUCGGGUUGGUUCCGCCGCGUGGUGUUGGGAGCGUAGCCGUAGUAGGUCAGCGCAGGGGUGACACGGAAUGGGAGCCGGCCGCGGAGGUGGUUUUCCGUGGUCAAGCACGCAGCCAGUCAUGUAGGCAAAUCCGCAUGGCGCGCAUGGCGAGGUGUGAUGAUGGGAGCCUUUUGGGCUCGAUAUCCGGUUGUCCAGGCCGUCGAGAAAAGCCUCGGCGUGAGGGCCAUGGCCGCCCGUACCCCAAACCGACACUGGUGGUCAGGUAGAGAAUACCAAGGCGAUCGAGCGAAUCCUGGUCAAGGAACUCGGCAAAUCACUCCCGUGCCUUCGGUAUAAGGGAGACCCGCUGGGGUGAACCGGCUAGCCCGGGGAGCUUUGGUGGGUGGCACAGACCAGGGGGUAGCGACUGUUUACCAAAAACACAGGUGCAUGCGAAGGCGCAAGCCGCUGUAUAUGCACUGACGCCUGCCCGGUGCCGGAAGGUUAAGAGGAUCCGUCAGCCCUCGGGUGAAGCGGUGAAUUCAAGCCCCGGUAAACGGCGGUGGUAACUAUAACCAUCCUAAGGUAGCGAAAUUCCUUGUCGGGUAAGUUCCGACCUGCACGAAUGGCGUAACGACUUCCCCACUGUCUCGACCAGGAGCUCGGCGAAAUUGCAGUACGAGUAAAGAUGCUCGUUAAGCGCAGAAGGACGAAAAGACCCCGGGACCUUUACUAUACCUUGGUAUUGGCGUUAGGCGCGGAUUGUGUAGCAUAGGCGGGAGGCUUCGAAGCGGGUGCGCCAGCAUUCGUGGAGCCGCAAGGUGAAAUACCGCUCUGUUCUCGUUUGACGUCUAACCUCGACAAGUCAUCCUUGUCAGGGACAGUGCCUGGCGGGUAGUUCAACUGGGGCGGUUGCCUCCCAAAGAGUAACGGAGGCGCUCAAAGGUCCGCUCAGCCCGGUUGGCAAUCGGGUGUCGAGUGUAAUCGCACAAGCGGGCUUGACUGCGAGGACGACGGUCCGAGCAGGGACGAAAGUCGGAGAUAGUGAUCCGGUGCCGGCGCACGGGCGCGGCAUCGCUCAACGGAUAAAAGGUACCCCGGGGAUAACAGGCUGAUCAUUCCCAAGAGUCCAUAUCGACGGGAUGGUUUGGCACCUCGAUGUCGGCUCGUCGCAUCCUGGGGCUGGAGCAGGUCCCAAGGGUUCGGCUGUUCGCCGAUUAAAGCGGCACGCGAGCUGGGUUCAGAACGUCGUGAGACAGUUUGGUCUCUAUCCUCUGCGCUCGUUGGAAUCCUGAGGAGGCCUGCCCAUAGUACGAGAGGACCUGGGUGGACGAACCUCUGGUAUGCCGGUUGUC
Molecule: ribosomal RNA, 2261 nt
Filed under: human gut metagenome
Description: bacterial LSU rRNA
Rfam family: Bacterial large subunit ribosomal RNA
Source: RNAcentral